RNAcentral lists this ribosomal RNA (587 nucleotides) under uncultured bacterium. RNAcentral describes it as "bacterial SSU rRNA". It matches the Rfam family "Bacterial small subunit ribosomal RNA", at positions 28 to 609 of the family's 1533-position model. The record is from RNAcentral.
AGUGAACGCUGGCGGCAGGCCUAACACAUGCAAGUCGAACGGCAGCACAGGGGAGCUUGCUCCCUGGGUGGCGAGUGGCGGACGGGUGAGGAACACAUCGGAAUCUACCCAGUCGUGGGGAUAACGUAGGGAAACUUACGCUAAUACCGCAUACGACCUGAGGGUGAAAGCAGGGGACCGCAAGGCCUUGCGCGAUUGGAUGAGCCGAUGUCGGAUUAGCUAGUUGGUGGGGUAAAGGCCCACCAAGGCGACGAUCCGUAGCUGGUCUGAGAGGAUGAUCAGCCACACUGGAACUGAGACACGGUCCAGACUCCUACGGGAGGCAGCAGUGGGGAAUAUUGGACAAUGGGCGCAAGCCUGAUCCAGCCAUGCCGCGUGUGUGAAGAAGGCCUCGGUUGUAAGCACUUUGUGGGUAAGGAAAACCUGUUGGUUAAUACUUGGCGGGAAUGACGGUACCCAAAGAAUAAGCACCGGCUAACUUCGUGCCAGCAGCCGCGGUAAUACGAAGGGUGCAAGCGUUACUCGGAAUUACUGGGCGUAAAGCGUGCGUAGGUGGUUCGUUAAGUCUGCCGUGAAAGCCCGGCUGC